Molecule: long non-coding RNA, 6214 nt
Filed under: Homo sapiens (human)
Lineage: Eukaryota; Metazoa; Chordata; Mammalia; Primates; Hominidae
Description: HSALNT0376231
Rfam family: Y RNA (bases 1-96)
Source: RNAcentral
GUUCGAAUGCAGUGGUGUUUACAACAAUGGAUAACAACCAGUUACAGAUAUUUUUGUUCCUUCUCCACUCCCACUGCUUCGCUUGACUAGCCUUUUAAAGAAAACAAAACAAAGAGUUUAUUUACAUGCAUACACAUGGGAGUGCUCAGUGGUAACUCAAAAGAAUAGUUAGAAUUUGGGGCUUAUACACCUAACUUAAUAGGGGAAAGGUAACAAGGAGAAAAGACUCGUAUAGGAAGAAAAAAUAAGUCUUCCUGGGCGCAGUGGCUCACGCCUGUAAUCCUAACACUCUUGGAGGCUGAGGUGGGAGGAUCACUUGAGCCCAGGAGUUAGAGACCAGCCUGGGCAACAUGGUGAGACCCCAUCUCUACAAAAAAUUUAAAAAUGAGCUGGGUAUGGACCGGGCGUGGUGACUUAUGCCUGUAAUCCCAGCAGUUUGGGAGGCUGAGGUGGGUGGAUCACCUGAGGUCAGGAGUUCGAGAUCAGCCUGGCCAACCUGGUGAAUACCUGUCUCUACUAAAAAUACAAAAAUUAACCAGGUGUGGUGGCACACACCUGUAGUCCCAGCUACUCAGGAGGCUGAGGCAGGAGAAUCACUUGAACCUGGGAGGCAGAGGAUGCAGUGAGCAGAGACUGCGCCAUUGCACUCCAGCCUGGGUGACAGAGUGAGACUCCGUCUCAAAACAAACAAACAAACAAACAAAAAAUUAGCUGGGCUUCAUGGCAGGCACCUGUAAUCCCAGCUACUCGGGAGGCUGAGGCAGGAGAAUCGCUUGAACCUGGGAGGUGGAGUUUGCAGUGAGGUGAGAUCGUGCCAUUGCACUCCAGCCUGGGCGACAGAGCGAGACUCUAUCUCAAAAAAAAAAACAGCUGGGUAUGGUGGUGUGUGCCUGUAGCCCCAGCUACUCAGGAAGCUGAGGUGGAGGAUCACUUGAUCCUGGGAGGUUGAGGCUGCAGUGAGCUAUGAUUGCACUAUUGCCCUCCAGCCUGAGCAAUAGAACAAGACCUUGUCUCUAAAAAUAGAUAGAUAAAUUUAAGUGGUAUUCCUUGAAAAAAAGCAGCUAGUUCAGCUCACAAUUCAGUAGCUCAACUGCUUUGUACUGCAUUUCCCAUUUCACCACACAGAGUACUUAAAAGAUGUGUACACAGGGAUCACGAUUUAUUAAAACAGGCCAGGUGCAGUGGCUUAUACCUGUAAUCCCAGCACUUUGGGAGGCCGAGGCGGGCAGAUCACCUGAGGUUAGGAGUUCAAGACCAGCCUGGCCAACAUAGUGAAACCGUGUCUCUACAGAAAAUACAAAAAUUAGCCAAGUGUGGUGGUGGGCGCCUGUAAUCCCAGCUACUUGGGAGACUGAGGCAGGAGAAUUGCGUGAACCUGGGAGGCAGAGGUUACCGUGAGCUGAGAUGGCGCCACUGCACUCCAGCCUGGGCAACAAAGCAAGACUCUGUCUCAAAAAUAAACAAACAAAUAAACAAAAUUAAAGAUUUAUUAAAACAUACUUUUUACUGCUUCAUGAAGGGCAAUUUUUUUUUUUUUUUGGAGACAGGGUCUCACUCUGUCACCCAGUCUGGAGUGAGGUGGCACGAUCAUGGCUCUUUCAUGUGCGUCCGUGUGAAGAGACCACCAAACAGGCUUUGUGUGAGCAACAUGGCUGUUUAUUUCACCUGGGUGCAGGCAGGCUGAGUCCGAAAAGACAGUCAGCGAAGGGAGAUAGGGGUGGGGCCAUUUUAUAGGAUUUGGGAAGGUAAUGGAAAAUUACAGUCAAAGGGGGUUGUUCUCUGGUGGGCAGGGGUGGAUCUCACAAAGUACAUUCUCAAGGGUGGGGAGAAUUACAAAGAACCUUCUUAAGGGUGGGGGAGACUACAAAGUACCUUAAGGGUGGGGGAUAUUACAAAGUACAUUGAUCAGUUAGGGUGGGGCAGGAACAAAUCACAAUGGUGGAAUGUCAUCAGUUAAGGCUGUUUUUACUUCUUUUAUGGAUCUUCAGUUACUUCAGGCCAUCUGGAUGUAUACGUGCAAGUCACAGGGGAUGCGAUGGCCUGGCCUGGGCUCAGAGGCCUGACAUUCCUGCCUUCUUAUAUUAAUAAGACAAAUAAAACAAAAUAGUGUUGAAGUGUUGGAGCGGCGAAAAUUUUUGGGGGGUGGUAUGGAGAGAGAAUGGGCGAUGUUUCUCAGGGCUGCUUCAAGUGGGAUUGGGGCGGCGUGGGAACAUAAAGUGGGAGAGAUUAAGCUGAAGGGAAGUCUUGUGGUAAGGGAUGAUAUUGUGGGGAUGUUAGAAGAAACAUUUGUCAUAUAGAAUGAUUGGUGAUGGCCUGGAUACAGUUUUGGAUGAACUGAGAAGCUAAAUGGAAGAUACAAGGUCUGAAUAAAAGGAGGAGAAAAAUGGGUAUUAAAGGACUAAGAAUUGGGAGGACCCAGGACAUCCAAUUAGAGAGUGCCCAAGGGGGUUCAGCGUAAUUACUUGCUUGGUUGGCAAGUUUUUGGGCUCUAUCCUUGAGUUUUUUUAUGUUGUCAUACACCAGGCCAGACUGAUUUAGGUAAAAACAACACUCCUCAUUUAAGAAUAUGCAGAGUCCUCCUUUUUCAGCAGUAAGUAAGUCAAGGCCUCGGCGGUUUUGGAGGACAACUGCAGCUAAAGAGUCAACUUGGGCCUGGAGGACUGAUAAAGUUUGUGAUUUUGAGGGCCUCUAAAAGUAUUAAAGCAGCAGCAGCUGCUGCACGCAGACAUGAGGGCUAGGCUAAAACAGUAAGGUCAAGUUGUUUGGACAGAAAGGCUACAGGGUGUGGUCCUGGCUCUUGUGUAAGAAUUCCGACCACGCUAACCAUGCCUAGGAAGGAAAAGAGUUGUUGUUUUGUAGAAGGUGCUGGGGUUUGAGAGAUCAGUCGGACACGAUUGGCAGGGAAAGCACGUGUGCUUUUACGAGAAUUACGCCGAGAUAGGUAACAGAUGAGGAAGAAAUCUGGGCUUGACUGAAGUAAUGGGGGCUGUCUGUGAAGCUUUGCAGCAGUACAGCCCAGGUAAUUUGCUGAGCCUAAUGGGGUGUCAGGGUCAGUCUAAGUGAAAGCAAAGAGAGGCUGGGACGAGGGGUGCAGGGGAAUAGUGAAAAAAGCAUCUUUAAGAUGGAGAACAGAAUAGUGAGUUGUGGAGGAACGUAUUGAGGACAAAAGAGUGUACGGGUUGGGCACCACAGGGUGGAUAGGCAAAACAAUUUGGUUGAUAAGACGCAGAUCCUGAACUAAUCUGUAAGACUUAUCCGGUUUUUGGACAGGUAAAAUGGGGGAAUUGUAAGAGUUUAUAGGUUUUAGAAGCCCAUGCUGUAGCAGGCGAGUGAUAACAGGCUUUAAUCCUUUUAAAGCAUGCUGUGGGAUGGGAUAUUGGCGUUGAGCGGGGUAAGGGUGAUGGAAGGAGUAGAGAUGUCCCAUACUUGUGGGUUAAGGUGGGGGGAUAUAAGAGGAAGACGCGAAGGAGGCUUUGAGUUGGGGAGAAGGUCGGCAAUGAGAUGCGGCUGUAGUCCAGGAAUAGUCAGGGAAGCAGAUAAUUUGGUUAAAAUAUCUCGGCCUAAUAAGGGAACUGGGCAGGUGGGAAUAACUAAAAAAGAGUGCAUAAAGGAGUGUUGUCCAAGUUGGCACCAGAGUGGGGGAGUUUUAAGAGGUUUAGAAGCCUGGCUGUCAAUACCCACAGUUAUGGAGGCAAGGGAAACAGGCCCUUGAAAAGAAGGUAAUGUGGAGCGGGUAGCCUCCGUAUUGAUUAAGAAGGGGACGGGCUUACCUUCCACUGUGAGAGUUACCGGAAGCUCGGCGUCCGUGAUGGUCUACGGGGCUUCCGAGGCGAUCGGGCAGCAUCAGUCUUCAGCCGCUAAGCCGAGAAGGAGUCAGUCAGAGAGCCUUGGGCCAGAGUUCCAGGGACUCUGGGAGUGGCUGCCAGGUGAGUUGAACAGUCCAAUUUCCAGUGGGGUCCCGCACAGAUGGGACACGGCUUAGGAGGAAUCCUGGGCUGCAUGCAUUCCUUGGCCUGGUGGUCAGAUUUCUGGCACUUGUAGCAAGCUCCUGGGGAAGGAGGUUCUGGAGGAACGCCUGGCCGCUGUGGUUCAGGCGUUUGGAAGUUCUUGUGUGCUGGAGAUGUGGCUGGGGUUUGUCUCACAGUGGAGGCAAGGAAUUGCAACUUUUUCUAUUAUUGUACACCUUGAAGGUGAAGUUAAUUAAAUUCUGUUGUGGGGUUUGAGGGCCGGAAUUUAAUUUUUGGAGAUUUAAUGUCGGGAGCAGAUUGGGUAAUAAAAUGUAUAUUGAGAAUAAUAUUGCCUUUUGACCUUUUAGGGUCUAGGGCUGUGAAGCAUCUCAGGGUUAUAUUUGAUGAAAAAGAGCCUAAACGCUAUCUGAUUUGGGAUAAAGAAAAAGGAGCAUUAACCUUGACUAUGCCUUUGGCUCCAGCCACCUUUUUAAGAGUAAAUUGCUGGGCAGGUGGGGGAGGGCUAGUCACGGAACGAAACUGUAAGCCCGACCAGGUGUGAGGAGGGGAGGCGAUAAAAAGAUUACAGGGUGCAGGAGCAGAGGCUGAGGAAGAAUUGGGACCUAGCUUGGGCUGGCGAGGAGGGGAGAGGUCAGAUGGGUCUGUAGAAAAGGAAGAUCAGAAAGACUCAGCGACACUUGGGGUUGGGACUGAGGGGACAGGCGGGAGGGAAAGAAGAAAGAUUUGGGACGAGUUGCACUGGGCACAGAGACUAGGAAGGGACUGAUGUGUAAAGGAAUGCCUGGACUUCAGGUACCUCAGACCAUUUGCCCAUUUUACGACAAGAAUUAUUUAGAUCUUGUAGGAUGGAAAAAUUGAAAGUGCCGUUUUCCGGCUAUUUGGAACUACUGUCGAGCUUGUAUUGGAGUCAAGCGGCAUUGCAGAAGAAAGUAAGGCAUUUAGGUUUUAGGUCAGGUGUGAGUUGAAGAGGUUUUAAGUUUUUGAGAACACAGGCUAAGGGAGAAGAAGGAGGAAUGGAAGGUGGAAGCUUACCCAUAGUGAAGGAGGCAAGCCCAGAGAAAAGAGUAGCAACACAGAGAAGGGGUGGGGGGUUCUUGCCCUCCAGAAAAGCAGAGAAGGGGUUGGGGCAUGGAAAUAAGAGGUCAGGGUGCGGAAAUAAGGGAUUGGGGCACAGAGAUAAGAGGUUGGGGUGUGGAAAUAAGUGAUUGGGGGGUUCUUGCCCCCUAGGAAAGCGGGACUUGCUGCUAAGGAUGAAGGAGAAGGGGUUGAGGGGUACUUGCCCCUGCCCCAGGAAAGCAGGACUUGCCGCUGAGGGGGAAGGGGUUGAGGGGUACUUGCCCCUGCCCCAGGAAAGCAGGACUUGCCGCUGAGGGUGAAGGGGAAGGGGUUGAGGGGUACUUGCCCCUGCCCCAGGAAAGUGGGACUUGCCGCUAAGGGUGAAGGACCAAGGCAGGCGUCCCUGCGUGGUCUGACACCCUUGAAACGUGAGUGUAUAAUCAGAGAGGCAUCCCUGCAAUGAUUAAACACCAAGGGAAGGCUGCCUUCCCAGUCCGUGACCGGCGCCAGAGUUUUGGGUUCACGGAUAAAACAUGUCUCUUUUGUCUCUACCAGAAAAUGAAAGGAAUUGAAAUUAAGAGAAGGGAGAGAUUGAAGUGUGGCUCCAAGAUUGAAAGGAGAAAGAGGUUGAGGGAUAGUGAGGGAGGUUGGAGAAGAGUAGAGGCCGCUUACCGGAUUUGAAAUUGGUGAGAUGUUUCUUGGGCUGGUCGGUCUGAGGACCUGAGGUCGUAGGUGGAUCUUUCUCAUGGAGCAAAGAGCAGGAGGACGGGGGAUUGAUCUCCCAAGGGAGGUCCCCCGAUCCGAGUCACGGCACCAAAUUUCAUGCGUGUCCCUGUGAAGAGACCACCAAACAGGCUUUGUGUGAGCAACAUGGCUGUUUAUUUCACCUGGGUGCAGGCAGGCUGAGUCCGAAAAGACAGUCAGCGAAGGGAGAUAGGGGUGGGGCCAUUUUAUAGGAUUUGGGAAGGUAAUGGAAAAUUACAGUCAAAGGGGGUUGUUCUCUGGUGGGCAGGGGUGGAUCUCACAAAGUACAUUCUCAAGGGUGGGGAGAAUUACAAAGAACCUUCUUAAGGGUGGGGGAGACUACAAAGUACCUUAAGGGUGGGGGAUAUUACAAAGUACAUUGAUCAGUUAGGGUGGGGCAGGAACAAAUCACAAUGGUGGAAUGUCAUCAGUUAAGGCUGUUUUUA